UACGUAGGCAGCGAGCGUUGUUCGGAGUUACUGGGCGUAAAGGGUGCGCAGGCGGUGGAGCAAGUCUGUUGUGAAAUCUCCCGGCUCAACCGGGAGGGUGCGGCGGAAACUGUUCUGCUGGAGUGAGGGAGAGGCAAGCGGAAUUCCUGGUGUAGCGGUGAAAUGCGUAGAUAUCAGGAGGAACACCCGUGGUGCAGACGGCUUGCUGGACCUCUACUGACGCUGAGGCACGAAAGCGUGGGGAGCAAACAGG
RNAcentral lists this ribosomal RNA (253 nucleotides) under uncultured bacterium. RNAcentral's name for it is "partial 16S ribosomal RNA". It matches the Rfam family "Bacterial small subunit ribosomal RNA", at positions 524 to 776 of the family's 1533-position model. The record is from RNAcentral.